AGCUGGUCCGAUGGUAGUGGGUUAUCGCUUGUUUGUGAAUUUCCCCCCCACUAUCGCCCUUGACUAGUUAUGU
This 73-nucleotide Y RNA is filed under the name Leptobrachium leishanense (Leishan spiny toad). Its description in RNAcentral is "Y RNA (ENSLLEG00000021291.1)". It matches the Rfam family "Y RNA". From Rfam's summary of the family: Y RNAs are components of the Ro ribonucleoprotein particle (Ro RNP), in association with Ro60 and La proteins. The Y RNAs and Ro60 and La proteins are well conserved, but the function of the Ro RNP is not known. Lineage: Eukaryota; Metazoa; Chordata; Amphibia; Anura; Megophryidae. The record is from RNAcentral.